GACGAACGCUGGCGGCGUGCUUAACACAUGCAAGUCGAACGGAAAGGCCCUGCUUUUCUGGGGUGCUCGAGUGGCGAACGGGUGAGUAACACGUGAGUAACCUGCCCUUUACUUUGGGAUAACUUCAGGAAACUGUGGCUAAUACCGCAUAGGAGCUCCUGCUGCAUGGUAUUGGUUGGAAAGUUUCGGCGGUUGGGCAUGCACUCGCGGCUUAUCAGCUUGUUGGUGGGGUAGUGGCUUACCAAGGCUUUGACGGGUAGCCGGCCUGAGAGGGUGACCGGCCACAUUGGGACUGAGAUACGGCCCAGACUGCUACGGGAGGCAGCAGUGGGGAAUAUUGCACAAUGGGCGGAAGCCUGAUGCAGCAACGCCGCGUGCGGGAUGACGGCCUUCGGGUUGUAAACCGCUUUCGCCUGUGACGAAGCGUGAGUGACGGUAAUGGGUAAAGAAGCACCGGCUAACUACGUG
Molecule: ribosomal RNA, 468 nt
Filed under: uncultured bacterium
Lineage: Bacteria
Description: partial 16S ribosomal RNA
Rfam family: Bacterial small subunit ribosomal RNA
Source: RNAcentral